CCUGAAGUUGCAGUAGGAAUGGGCCUGCUAGCCUCUAACCAGCAACUUCUCAGGCCAGGGCGGGGACGUCCAUAGACCCUUUCCAACUCUAAUGCUUACCGCUCUCCUCCCAACACAGAAAUAUGCUUGUCUCUGAACACGUGAGGACCAACACUUCAGACUUCCAGAAGCCCAUUGCAAAGGUUGAAGCAUUCCUUCCUAGAGAAAGGAGGGAGGGUGAGACACUCCAGGAACUCACGAGUCUACAAGAUUCAGGAAGCCCAUCAAAUUUACAAGGCCCUCAAGGCCCCCAUUAGCAAAUGAUUGCUAGGAAGGUUAGAAGCUUGGGGGAUGGCACAAACUGCAAAGGGGACUCCAGUGACACAGCUUCCUGGAGCCAUCACCAGUGCUGAGGCGGGUUUUUGAUUUUGUAGCAGCCUGAGUUGCUUCUGUAGGUAACCCCAAUAAACUCGCUAUUCACCAAGAUGAA
Mesocricetus auratus (golden hamster) is the source of this 469-nucleotide long non-coding RNA. RefSeq lists it as uncharacterized. The record is from RefSeq and is a predicted model, not a curated record. The transcript has 2 exons. NCBI's taxonomy places the organism in Eukaryota, Metazoa, Chordata, Mammalia, Rodentia, Cricetidae.